CUUUAAAAAAGAAAAAAGAAGUGCUAAAAAAAAAACAGUACAGAGUUUAGUGUGGCCCCUGUCCAAGGAUAACAUGCAAAUUAGUGAAAUAUUCCAUGUUUGU
Molecule: small nuclear RNA, 103 nt
Filed under: Canis lupus familiaris (dog)
Lineage: Eukaryota; Metazoa; Chordata; Mammalia; Carnivora; Canidae
Also listed under: 1 other name
Source: RNAcentral